This is a long non-coding RNA of Oreochromis aureus, 3005 nucleotides long. Lineage: Eukaryota; Metazoa; Chordata; Actinopteri; Cichliformes; Cichlidae. The record is from Ensembl.
CUAGUGACCUCAACAAUUGCAAGACAGCCUUGUCCCCGAUGCAAAUAUAUGAAAAAAUAAAAUACGAAGAUUUAUGAAACCAUUAGGACUUUAUCACUGUUUUAUCUGAAAAGUUACUGGUAAUAUAUAACCUAACUGGCAUUUAAAGUGUAAAAAACAGAAUGUAGAUAAAAUUUUGGUUUUGCUGAAAAGAACUGGAGCCAACUUUAUUUUUUACAAUUAUUGUAGCUGUUUUAAGACUGUAAAACCCCUCACUACAUGCUUUACACACUUUCCUCAGACAGGCACGAACAUUUUCACACUUUUUUCUUUUGUUUAAACACUCUUAAAGUUCAAACCUUCGUAGAAACACAAGUCCAUUAUAAAAUCAAACCGCGCAAAACGUUUGUUUCGUCGGCAUUGUUGUGUUUGUUGGGGAGAAAACUUACAAACAUACAGUAAAGCACUUCAGAGUUACAUUGCUAGCGAUCGAAGAUUUAUAUAAAUUCGACAAACUAAACUCAUUAUGUACUGUACAGCAGCGGUCCCCAACCUUUUUUGCACCCCGGACCAGUUUAAUGUCAGAAAAUAUUUUCACGGACCAGCCUUUAAGGUGUCGCGGAUAAAUACAACAAAAUAAAAUGAUACAAAGACAAAAACGGUGGUAUUUUGUAAAUAUAAUAAUAAACGCGAAUUCACUGUAUGAUUGUGUAACUUUAUUAGCAGGGUCCUCCUGAAAUGCACCAACAACAUUGAGAAUAACAUCCUCCUCUCUGCUUCUUAAUGCUCUCUGGUCGCUAUGGUAACGCGUAAAUAGUUCUUUCAAAAUAAGACACACGACUACAACACGGGAAAAGACCCAGGGAACCCGACUUAACGAUUAAAAACCCUGAAAAUCAUACACUUCACACCCGAACCUCAACUCUCGCGGCCCGAUACCAAACGGGCCCGGGUGUUGGGGACCGCUGCUGUGCAGAAGACACGGCACUAGAUUGAUUGACAAUGGUCUACAGCAAUCAGAACGCACAAAACAAUGUGCUGUUAAGAAGAAAAAAAAAUCAGCGAAACAGCGAGUCCGCGAAAGGUGCUGAUAAAUAAAUUCUAAGUGUUUUUUUUAACAAUCUGGGUUAAAAACACUUAGAAUCAAAUUUAUUUAUCAGCAGCAUCAAUAGUAACAAAAAUACAAUUUAGUUUUCGCUGUCAAAGUCGAUUUAACUGAAGUUACGUGCUUCCGGUUACUGUGGAGGUCGCAAUAUGGCGCUCCCCAGUGGCUGCAGCCAGGUGCUCUUGACUGGUUGGGGUGAGAGAAAAAAGACAGGAUUGAAGACUGUGGAAGAGGCUGUGGAAGAGAGACAGAGAUUAAUAACAAGUAUGAUUCAAUACAGAGAGCUCUAUUAACCAGGGCGGUUGCCCGGGGAGGCAUCGUGGUGGGGCCAGCAUCACGGGCAUCGGCAAAAAAAAUAAAUAAAUAAAAAUUACUCGUACUCAUGCUGCCCCGACAUCAUGCCAGCGCAUAUUGGGAAUGGCAUAGGCACCGAUCGGUUUUCUAUCGCCAAUUUGGGAGUAAGGGGGGGUAUGGGCUCAAAAUGUGGUCAUAAAUAUUUUGUACUUGUAAAUCAGGAUUUGUAUGUGUAAAAAGAAUUUGUGCGUGCGUAAAAAAGAUUUGUAUGUGUAAAAAAGAUUUGCGUGUGCGUAAAAAAGAUUUGUAUGUGUAAAAAAGAUUUGUGUGUGGACUUAGCCAAAAAAAACCCUGCAAGUUACAAGUACGAAUUUUGACCCUAUUUUUCUUCCUGUCAUCUGAUUGGUCAAUGUCAUGUCAAUCACAAAUGUAACAAUCCAAUCAGAGAACAGAUGGGUUUGGCUGUCGGAGGGGCACUUUUUUGAACUGCAGGUCCUUGAAGGGAGUAAAUGCCCUUUCACAUGCCAACCCAGCGAAUACAGCGUAUUUAAAAUACAAAAUAUGAACAUUUCGUUACAGUUACCGUUUAAAAAGGUGGUAUUUAGAAUACAGUUACUUUGUUGAAAUAAAUGGAUUACAUGGCUGUAUUUUCCUGUUUCAUAUUGUGGCAGGUCAGGACUGUUUGUGUUUUGUUCGACAGCUAUGUUCUGUUGUUCCAGGCGGCAGCGUUACGGUUGCAGUGGUUAAAGGGCGACGCUCUCUCUCUCUCUCUCUGCGACUGUGUGUUUCCUGGGUGAGAGCGCCUUUUUGUUGUUGUUGUUGUGCUAAGCUAAUAGGCAGAAUGCUACAGGCAUAGUCCUAAAGAAUGUAUCCAUAUGGGCAGUGUAGUCCGUGCUGCAGGGAGAAUGGACUGCCAUACACGUUAUGUAUCUGUGAGUGCAAAGAGGGAGAAAAAGGAGAGUGGAAAAGUAGGAGUUGUCAUAGAGCAAAAACGGGAGCUGGAAGCAUGUAAAUAUAAUAAUAAUCACUGCAGCCAAGAAGAGUGCCUGACGAGCCCAGUUGUAAGUAAGCUAUUAAGACUCGACAGUAUUUGUGUUUUUCUCCAAAACAAAAAGUUCCGUUGGAGCAGCUUUUCAAAGCCUCUCUCUGUCUCUCGCAAGCACAGUUGUCUGGGUCAACUUUGCUUGCGAGAGACCCAGGGGUUCUGUGUCAGCUACGAGCCCAACACGGAACCGACGUAUUAGCCAGAGGUCCCUUUAGGUUCGGAGCUGCGGACCUUCAGUAAUAGUAAUAAAUCACACAGCAAUAGUGCAUUCACGUACUGGUGAAAACCAUGAUAAUAAUAAUAUAUAUAAUAAUAUUAAGUAAUCCAAAGUAUUCAGAAUAUGUUACUGUCAUUGAGUAACAUAACAGAAUACGUUACAAAAUACAUUUUGGGGCAUGUAUUCUGUAAUCUGUAGUGGAAUACAUUUUAAAAGUAACCUUCCCAACACUGCACAUAGUGAGUGAGGAGUGUGAGUGAAGAAGAAAUACUCAAUGCGUCAUGGGAAUCCCCCAGCAGCCUACACCUAUUGCAGCAUAACUAAGUAACUAAGCAUCACUAUGAGACAGGAUAUUUCUAAUUUUA